GACGAACGCUGGCGGCGUGCUUAACACAUGCAAGUCGAACGGAAAGGCCUUUUCGGAGGUACUCGAGUGGCGAACGGGUGAGUAACACGUGGGUGAUCUGCCCUGCACUCUGGGAUAAGCCUGGGAAACUGGGUCUAAUACCGGAUAGGACCGCACUUUAGUGUGUGUGGUGGAAAGUUUUUUCGGUGUAGGAUGAGCCCGCGGCCUAUCAGCUUGUUGGUGGGGUAAUGGCCUACCAAGGCGGCGACGGGUAGCCGGACUGAGAGGUUGGUCGGCCACAUUGGGACUGAGAUACGGCCCAGACUCCUACGGGAGGCAGCAGUGGGGAAUAUUGCACAAUGGGUGCAAGCCUGAUGCAGCGACGCCGCGUGGGGGAUGACGGCCUUCGGGUUGUAAACUCCUUUCGCCAGGGACGAAGCGUUUUGUGACGGUACCUGGAGAAGAAGCACCGGCUAACUACGUG
RNAcentral lists this ribosomal RNA (463 nucleotides) under uncultured bacterium. Its description in RNAcentral is "partial 16S ribosomal RNA". It matches the Rfam family "Bacterial small subunit ribosomal RNA", at positions 28 to 507 of the family's 1533-position model. The record is from RNAcentral.